GCUAUACAUGCAGUCGAGCGGACAGAUGGGAGCUUGCUCCCUGAUGUUAGCGGCGGACGGGUGAGUAACACGUGGGUAACCUGCCUGUAAGACUGGGAUAACUCCGGGAAACCGGGGCUAAUACCGGAUGGUUGUUUGAACCGCAUGGUUCAAACAUAAAAGGUGGCUUCGGCUACCACUUACAGAUGGACCCGCGGCGCAUUAGCUAGUUGGUGAGGUAACGGCUCACCAAGGCAACGAUGCGUAGCCGACCUGAGAGGGUGAUCGGCCACACUGGGACUGAGACACGGCCCAGACUCCUACGGGAGGCAGCAGUAGGGAAUCUUCCGCAAUGGACGAAAGUCUGACGGAGCAACGCCGCGUGAGUGAUGAAGGUUUUCGGAUCGUAAAGCUCUGUUGUUAGGGAAGAACAAGUACCGUUCGAAUAGGGCGGUACCUUGACGGUACCUAACCAGAAAGCCACGGCUAACUACGUGCCAGCAGCCGCGGUAAUACGUAGGUGGCAAGCGUUGUCCGGAAUUAUUGGGCGUAAAGGGCUCGCAGGCGGUUUCUUAAGUCUGAUGUGAAAGCCCCCGGCUCAACCGGGGAGGGUCAUUGGAAACUGGGGAACUUGAGUGCAGAAGAGGAGAGUGGAAUUCCACGUGUAGCGGUGAAAUGCGUAGAGAUGUGGAGGAACACCAGUGGCGAAGGCGACUCUCUGGUCUGUAACUGACGCUGAGGAGCGAAAGCGUGGGGAGCGAACAGGAUUAGAUACCCUGGUAGUCCACGCCGUAAACGAUGAGUGCUAAGUGU
Molecule: ribosomal RNA, 792 nt
Filed under: Bacillus subtilis
Lineage: Bacteria; Bacillati; Bacillota; Bacilli; Caryophanales; Bacillaceae
Description: bacterial SSU rRNA
Rfam family: Bacterial small subunit ribosomal RNA
Source: RNAcentral